RNA transcript from Sapajus apella (tufted capuchin), 692 nucleotides. It is a transcript of the gene named zinc finger protein 141-like, with no coding region annotated. The record is from RefSeq and is a predicted model, not a curated record. The transcript is spliced from 4 exons. NCBI's taxonomy places the organism in Eukaryota, Metazoa, Chordata, Mammalia, Primates, Cebidae.
UCCAAUCAGRGCGCUGGGCUGAGAACUGCCCAAUCAGGCGCACAGCCGGAGGAGAGAGGGCGGGAUCCGGGAUCUGGCGCGGCUUUUGCUCCAGCCCGAGCUCGGUUAGGGCCUCACCGCCCUGCUUUCACCCCCUCAGGGAGGCCCCGGUGAUUCGGCCACAGCCUCUGCCUCCGUCGCUCUGUGAGCUGCGGGCAUCGGAUGAUUCGUAGCUAAGACUCCGCGACACCCUGAAGCCCAGAAAUGGAACUCUUAACAUUCAGGGAUGUGGCCAUAGAAUUCUCUCCAGAAGAGUGGAAAUGCCUGGACCCUACCCAGCAGAAUUUAUAUAGAGAUGUAAUGUUGGAGAACUAUAGAAACCUGGUCUCCCUGGGUGUUGCUAUCUCUAACCCAGACCUGGUCACCUGUCUGGAGCAAAGAAAAGAGCCCUUCAAUGUAAAGAUACAUGAGGCAGUAGCCAGACCCCCAGGUAGACUGAGUCUUGCUCUGUAGCCUAGGCUGGAGUGCAGUGGUGCGAUCUUGGCACAUUACAACCUCCGCCUCCCAGGUUCAAGCAAUUCUCCUGCCUCAGUCUCCUGAGUAGCUGGGAUUACAAGCUCCUGCCACCAUGCCUGGCUAAUUUUUGUAUUUUUAGUAGAGAUGGGGUUUCGUCGUGUCGGCUAGGCUGGUUUCGAACUCCUGGCCUCAGGUGA